This 785-nucleotide ribosomal RNA is filed under the name uncultured fungus. Its description in RNAcentral is "eukaryotic LSU rRNA". It matches the Rfam family "Eukaryotic large subunit ribosomal RNA", at positions 24 to 664 of the family's 3401-position model. The record is from RNAcentral. Lineage: Eukaryota; Fungi.
CCCGCUGAACUUAAGCAUAUCAAUAAGCGGAGGAAAAGAAACUAACAAGGAUUCCCCUAGUAACGGCGAGUGAAGCGGGAUGAGCUCAAAUUUAAAAUCUGGCUGGUUUACUAGUCCGAAUUGUAGUUUAAAGAAGCGUUUUCGGUGGCAGCCUGGGUAUAAAUCCUUUGGAACAGGGUAUCAUAGAGGGUGAGAAUCCCGUCUUUGACUCAGUGCAUGCUACUAUGUGAUACGUUUUCAAAGAGUCGAGUUGUUUGGGAAUGCAGCUCAAAAUGGGUGGUAAAUUUCAUCUAAAGCUAAAUAUUGGCGAGAGACCGAUAGCGAACAAGUACCGUGAGGGAAAGAUGAAAAGAACUUUGAAAAGAGAGUUAAACAGUGCGUGAAAUUGUUGAAAGGGAAACGCUUGACACCAGUCAUGCGAGCGGAAAAUCAGUCUUUUGCAGUGGGGAGUGUGUGUGGGUUCGGACCGCAAGGCCGGCCUGCGCUUCAUCUCUGCUGUAAGUGAUGCACUUUUUCGUUUGCAGGCCAACAUCAGUUUCUUCUGCUGGACAAAACUCUUGAGAAGGUAGCAGCUUAGGCUGUGUUAUAGCUCUUGAGCGAUACAGUGGAGGAGACCGAGGUUUUCGCAGCGCGUGCUUUCGGGCAAGGCUGAUUGGGUGCUAUGGGAUCGUUCGGUGUACAAUGCAUGCAUUUUGCGCCGUGUCUUUUCUAUACUCGCUCAACUCGGCUCUUCCGCGCUUAGGAUGUUGGCUUAAUGGUUUUAAUCGACCCGUCUUGAAACACGG